This 820-nucleotide long non-coding RNA is filed under the name Rattus norvegicus (Norway rat). RNAcentral's name for it is "long non-coding RNA NONRATT021956". The record is from RNAcentral. Lineage: Eukaryota; Metazoa; Chordata; Mammalia; Rodentia; Muridae.
CCCCACUUACACAGUUCCUUCAUAGCGUUUGUUGCUUCGUAGGUGUCUCCAUGUCUGCCCAACCCGUACCUUAAUCAUCAGCCAGGACCCUUUACAUGUAGCAAACUAUUUUAUAGACCUUUACAGUAGUGUGUAGGCCUUGGAGAAGUCUGAUGAUGGUGUGUAACACCCUUUGCUGCACUGAGGAACAUUUUUCUAAGGUCUUUUAGGUGAAAACUGCGAAAAUAUUCCUAGAGUUAAGAACGAUUUUCUGGAAAAUUCCAGUGUCCUUGGAAGCAAGGAAGCAAGGAAGCAAGGAAGCAAGGGACCAAUCUAUCGCUGUUUUUCAUUCUGUCUUCAGCACCGACGGACCCUCUCUCCACAGUGAGGAUGACUGAUAGCUACCAGAGUGCCCCAGAGGUCGUCCACACGAGGGGGAAGAAAGGACACACAUCACAAUAUGUUAAAGCCUGCUUCAUCUUUAACAAAUUCUAUGAUGCUACUAGACUUAUAGUUACCACGCGGCACAGUUUGAUCUGCAAAAAUAUCGGGGAAAUGUUUUUACCUUUGGCCUCUUUCCUUGUGUAUUGUAGACUCCAAUUCCACACAAAUGCAAGCUGUUUUAUCAGUGUGAAUUUUCAGAGGCUGGAUAAGAGUAAAGUUAGGAAAUUUAAAUAUUCUUUCUCAUGUAGUACAGUCUACUGAUCCGGGUAUAUAAUAAUUCUGGGAGAGAAUUUUUUUUAGAUCAGACUGUGAAAUUGAAAUCACCUUUGAUGUGUUUUCAGUGGCUUCUUCCUAUUAGAGCCAAAUUUGAUGGACAGGAGGUGUGGGCUAACCCAAU